UACGUAGGGUGCAAGCGUUGUCCGGAAUUAUUGGGCGUAAAGAGCUCGUAGGCGGUCUGUCGCGUCUGGUGUGAAAUUCCAGGGCUUAACCCUGGACCUGCAUCGGGUACGGGCAGACUAGAGUGCGGUAGGGGAGAUCGGAAUUCCUGGUGUAGCGGUGAAAUGCGCAGAUAUCAGGAGGAACACCAAUGGCGAAGGCAGCUCGCUGGGACGGUACUGACGCUGAGACGCGAAAGCGUGGGGAGCAAACAGG
RNAcentral lists this ribosomal RNA (253 nucleotides) under uncultured bacterium. Its description in RNAcentral is "partial 16S ribosomal RNA". It matches the Rfam family "Bacterial small subunit ribosomal RNA", at positions 524 to 776 of the family's 1533-position model. The record is from RNAcentral.